RNAcentral lists this long non-coding RNA (3372 nucleotides) under Homo sapiens (human). RNAcentral describes it as "HSALNT0356875". The record is from RNAcentral. Lineage: Eukaryota; Metazoa; Chordata; Mammalia; Primates; Hominidae.
GGUGCAAAUGUAAUUGUGGUUUUUGCUAUUAAAAGUAAUUACUUUGAAGCAGAAUCACAACAAGGUUGAGGUAUAAGAGUCCAUCUAGUUAUAGAUUACAAAAACAUAGUCACUAAACUCAUCAGAAGUUAUCUUAUGUUGGCCAGUCACAGUGGCCUACAAUCCCAGCACUCUGGGAAGCUGAGGUGGGUGGAUCACUUGAGGUCAGGAGUUCGAGACCCGCCUGGCCAACAUGGUGAAACCCCCGUCUCUACUAAAAAUAUACAAAAAAAAUUAGCCGGGUGUGGUGUUGUGUGCCUGUAAUCCCAGGUACUCAGGAGGCUGAGGCAGAAGAAUCGCUUGAACCCAGGAGAGGUUGCAGCGAGCCGAGAUCAAGCUACUGCACUCCAGCAUGGGCAACAGAGUAAGACUCUGUCUCAAAAUGAAAAAAAAAAAAAGUUAUCUUAUGUUUAAGGAAAGACAAGGACAAGGGUCAUUUAUCUUUAAGGAAUAUGGUGACCCAAGUAAGAGACACAGACGGCCAUAUGCUCUGUCCUGUUUUGUCUUUAAAGCAUCCCUCCAGAGAUCUGCACGUCACCACAGAGCCAGGUGCUUGGUGAAAUUAUGCUGGCAAGCAGAAAUGAGCAGAUAUGGCUUCUGUUUGCUACUUCGUCUCACAAAUGCUUUUUACUUUCUCUGUACCAAUUCACACUCCUCCUGUCUAUCUCCUCCUGGAUUAUCACCAUCCUAAGCAGGUGAUCCUGGAAGUCACAUUCCCUCUGUUCUUACGUGUGUGCUGGAUUGCCAAGGAGGGGAAAAGAAAACCCUCAGCCGCUUGCCAUCUCUCUCCUUUUUAUAUGUGUCUUUCUUCAUGAAAAGCGGGCCUCUGAAAACGAUUGCAUGAAGUGGAGCGUCUCUGUCAGGUGGAACUGGCCUCCCAGGCCGCAUUUACCCCAGUGUUAUUACAGGAAAUGAAUGCAUUGUAUUGAAGGCCGUUUGUCGCUCAUUGUUGCUCAGGCUCAGGCCUGUGUGGGACUGUUUGUCCUCCUGCACACACAGCAGCCAUUGUGUCCCCUGCAACAUCCUACAUGCAGCUGUGAACAGUUGUGCCCGAGCCAGUUUAUCGGCCGUGGAAUUCACUCAGAAAGGAAUCGAGAACAACAUAUCAAGUCAGGGCCCUCAUUUUCUCUGGGAAUGUUCUGAGCUCUCCCGCAUUCCUCCUCCCACUUGGCCAAGAAAAACAAACAAACAGUGGCCUCCUUUGAUGUACGCACCUCUGGGCUAUUCAGAGGUGGGAUUUUUUGGGUAAGAAUUUCCAAUUUCUACAUGGAAUCUCCAUUCACAACUUUCUGGACCCAGAGAGCUAAGGCAACAGAAUCUAAUAACUACAAAGGCUGUCCCUGCCACUGAUCUCUGGGGCCAAAUGAUGUCCCUACAGUAAACAAAGUCAAGGGGGUGUCCCACCCCGUCAUUUCACACCAUGACAGCCGUGAGGCUAAUUUGCAGGGUGACUCUAUGAACACUGUGUUGUCCUUUCGGGUUGUUCAUAUGGCCCACCUCCCAUAGGACACAUAUUUAAUUCAUCAGAACAUGAAACACUUGGCAGGGCACAGUGGCUCACCCCUGUAACUCCACACUUUUGGAGGCCGAGAUGAGAGCGUCACUUGAGGCCAGGAGUUCGAGACCAGCCUAAGCAAUAUAGCAAGAUCCUAUCUUUAUUUUAAAAGAAUGAAAAAUAAAAAACAGGAGGCUGGGCGUGGUGGCCCAUGCCUGUAAUCCCAACACUUUGGGAGGCCAAGGCAGGUGGAUCACCUGAGGUCAAGAGUUCGAGACCAACCUGGCCAACAUGGCAAAACCCUGUCUCUAUUAAAAAUACAAAAAUUAGCCAGGCAUGGUGGUGGGCACCUGUAGUCCCAGCUACUUGGGAGGCUGAGCAGGAGGAUCGCUUGAACCCAGGAGGCGAAGGUUGCAGUGAGCCGAGAUCGUGCCACUGUACUGCAGCCUGGGAGACAAAGUAAGACUCUGUCUUAAAAAAUAAGAAUAAUGAAAAAAAAAAAAACAAGAAAUAUCGGCUCCCAGGCUAGAAAUAGGAGUCAAGAAAGACUGAGGCAGGUUUCAUAGGUGAACAUUCAUAUCAAGUCUUGGCAACUGUUUAGGUGGGACAGUUGAGGCUUGGGUUGGCUUAGAAACAUUGAUCAUUUUUUCUUAAGCAUAGUGCCUACAAUUUUGAUUGGUAAAUGGGGUUUUGGGCUUGGUUGUGGAAAGUGAACCAACCAUCUGUUUUUUUCCUUGGACUGCAGUGGUGCUCAACAGAACAUUUUGCACGAGGAGCCUUAAGCUAAACAUUUGCUCUAAAACAUAUAUGUGUAUCUAUACAUCUAUGUACAUGUAAAAAAACCAUGUGUAUCCACUUAUCAGAAUAAAUCUCUGAUGCUGGGUGUGGUGGCUGAUGCCUGUAAUCCCAUCACUUUGGAAGGCCAAGGCAAGUGGAUCACUUAAUCCCAGGAGUUUUGAGACUAGCCUGGGCAACACAGUGAAACCCUGUCUCUACAAAAAAUACACAAAUUAUCUGGGUGUGGUGGUGCAUGCCUAUAGUCCCAGCUACUAGGGAGGCUGAGAUGGAAGGAUUGCUUGAGCCUGGGAUGUCAAGGCUGCAGUGAGCCAUGAGCAUGCCACUGCCCGAGUGACACAGCAAGACCCUGUCUCAAAAGAAAAAAAAAGAAUAAAUAUCUAACAAACACAAUAUAUCAAUAGUUGCCAAUAAAGUUUAGAGUAAGUAGAAUUUAGAAGAACAUGACUUAACUAAGUCCAAAUACACAGAUGUAACUUUUCCUCACUGUCCAAAUUUCCAGUUUUCACUACUAUUAAAUGUGACUCUGAUGUUCAUAAACAGGGCAAAGGAGGAAAUAAACUUAAUUCACUCAACUUGUUCUUCAGAGUCUAAAAGCCUUGUGGGGCUUAUGCUCAACUUUUACACAACGGCUUUGGCAUUAAAAGUCUUUGCACAGGCUGCUUAUAAUCCCUGCACUUUGGGAGGCCAAGGAAGGAGGAUUGCCCUGAGCUCAGGAGUUUGAGACCAGUGUGGGCAACAUGUCGAGACCCUGUCUCUACACAAAAUUUUAAAAACUAGCUGGGCAGGAUGGUGCACACCUGUAAUCCCAGCUACUGGGGAGGCUAAGGCAGGAGCAUCGCUUGAGCCCAGGAGGUCAAGGCUGCAGUGAGCUAUGAGUGUGCCACUGCACCCAAGCCUGGGCGACCCUGUCUCAAAAAAAAUAAAAAUAAAAAAAAUUUUAAAGCCAUUGCACAGUUUUCUCUGCUGCUGGAAUAAAUGGAUCUUCUGCUAGCUCUAAUUGCCCUAGUAAAAGAAUAUUAUCUUUGACCACUGAUCCUAAG